GAAAAAUCCUCCAUUCAAUGCAGUCAUGAUCUUGUAGCAAGUAAUAUGGGCAAUAUUGAUUUCCAUGCCUGGAGCCUCAGAAAAGCAAAAACUUCUAUGUCUCAUAAGAUAGAAACCGAGCUUGAAAGAUGAAUUGCCUGAAGCUGCUAAUGAACUCAUAAUUAUAAUUAGAUUAUAGUCAACUAUAAGCAUUCCCUGCUUAUAAACCUAUGGACAAUCAGCCUUAGUGGAGUAACAAGUUCCAAGAAAUACUUACAGGAAACAAACAAACCUACUCAGGAUUGAGUUUAGCAUUACAAAAUGCUGACUGACUGAAUGAAAAAGGAAACAGCAUGGGGUAAAAGAAAUCGCAAAUAGCCUCAGUUCUUGCUGCAAUAUGUUCUUCAGCUCCCACUAAAGACUUAGUUCAGGGAUAAUCAUUCAAAUGCUACUACAGACUGCUCAGGUUUGAAUACAAUUGAAUAAAAUAUCCCUUUCAUUCUC
Molecule: long non-coding RNA, 483 nt
Organism: Pantherophis guttatus
Lineage: Eukaryota; Metazoa; Chordata; Lepidosauria; Squamata; Colubridae
Source: RefSeq, a predicted model, not a curated record